Molecule: small nucleolar RNA, 88 nt
Organism: Syzygium oleosum
Lineage: Eukaryota; Viridiplantae; Streptophyta; Magnoliopsida; Myrtales; Myrtaceae
Product: small nucleolar RNA R11/Z151
Exons: 1
Source: RefSeq, a predicted model, not a curated record
GGGCUUGUGAUGUUGAAUCAAUAUUUAUCUUAGUGGAUUUCGGCGAGUCUCAUCAUCAAUGAUCUGAUUGUUACACACACUGAAGCCC